AGACAGAGUUAGGAAAUGUACCAAGCAAAAUUUAUGAUUUCAUGUUGAGGCAGUGCUUCAUUUUUGUUUCACAAAAAGUUCAAGAAUUUCCAGAACAAGAAUUUACAUGACCUUUCUAGUUUUGUGAUUAUUGAAAAGAAUCAACUCUAAAGACCGAUUCACUCACAAAUCGAACAUUACUUUGGCUUGUGAGCACGUUUUAUCUACACAAGUCCAAUGUAUGACAUUUCCAGGCCUGAAUUUUAAAAUUUCCUGAUAUUUCCUGGUUUUUAGUGACAGUGUUAACCACGCUGAUUUGAUCUCCACAUAUUUUGUUAAAAAUGUACCCCCCACUCACAAGUGUUAGGGUUAGUCAACUGACCAGUAAAAAAUAUAUCAAUGAAACAAAAUCUGCAGACUUUUUUUUUUUCAUGCCAGAACUGAUUUAAGGAAAUCUGUGGAAUUAUCCAGAACACAUUUAAUUAUGUUAAAAAUGGUAGACUGAACUAAGAAUACUGCACUUUUAUUGAUAGUUAAAGCAUUAAAAUCAAGCUGGGAAAAAAAAAAAAAUUGUACAAAAGGGGUAGGGAUGUACAGACCAUUGUGAAUGAUGGGUGUUUUAAUUCUGUGGAAAUCUACAGUUUCAUUCACGUUCAAGUUUCAUUCACCUUUCGUAAGUGUCAUACAACUGAAACAAAAUGAAAACAAAAACAGGGCUAUAUUUGACUCUGUAAACUACACUAGCUUACAGAGUUAAAAUACUGUUAUGGGUGGAAACAAAAAGGGAGAAAAACAAGUUUCUGCCUGUUCCUCUAAUUAGUGUGCAGUGGUUGUCUGUUGGCUGAUUAAAGAUUAAUCAUAAAUUCAUGAGCAUACAGGCUGUAGUUGGUGAGGCAGUGACUCCAGUCACCAGUAUGAGGGAGUAAUUCAAAUGAGAGUGGAGGAGGAAAAAUGCCACAAGCGCCACCAUUGGUGGAGAGAGAGCAGGGAUGCAAGAGACGGAGGAUGAGUGAGAAAGUUCAAGCUCUCUCAGCUGUUAUGCUGUUUAAAAUUCAAUCUACGAAGAACGCUGAUGUGGUCUCCCCCUCCCCAUACGCACUAGCGCUCUCUCUCUCUCUCUCUCUCUGCUUUAUGUGUUGUCUGCUACCCUAAUCAGAUAGAAGAGCUUUUCCUGUGCAGUUGUGUGGAUGUGGAGCUCUUGCAGCGGGACACUUGAACCAUGCCAAAGAGAGGCUGCUACUGGUCAGACUUUCCAGGGGGUUACUCUCUACAACGCGACGGCAAGACCAUCUGUCCAUGAAGUGACUCUCUUCUCAUCUCUUAUGAUUCUUCAAUUUUGCUGCGUGUCUAUUCAAAACAGCCUUCAUCAUCAAACCGUCCAUUAAGCCCCAACACAUAAACCCAAUAUGACGAUCACCAUUCAGAACGUCACUGCCACCUCCGCCAUCGUCAGCUGGCCCUCAUCUCCUGGUUGCAUUGACACGUUCUACAGCAUCAUGUACCACCCAAACUGGAACAACCUUCUGAUGGGUUAUACUCGCAAGAGCUUCCUACGUGAGGACAGGGUUCCUGUAAGCCAGACCUCAACCAGUCUGGGCAACCUCAGUCCACAGACUACUUACAUCCUGUGCGUCACCUGCCAGUCUGCGAACCCCACCAGAGAGCAGUGCCAGGUUUUCAGUACCCUGGAUGAGGGUACAAACCUUGGGGAGAAUGGUAGGGAGCUGGCCAUGGGAGUCUGGUUGGCCAGCAGUAUCCUUCUAUUGAUUAUUGCUGUGGCUCUACUUUGGGGAUGUCUCCACACAAUCUGUCCAGCAAAGAGAGACUCAAACCAGGACAACCAGCAAGGUUCUAACCCUCCUCACCUGGCUCUGGCACCCAUGGGUGGGAAUGUGGGAAGCGAAGGAAGAAAACAUCUCUACACGCCAAGUUGUAGCGAGGAGGACUCUCAGAAUGCAACAGUGAUUGAGAACCCUUUUCGAGCAGAGCACGGACGAGAGCCAGGAAAUGGGCCAAGCCGUGAAAUUAGAACGCAGGGUAAUAAACAGUACUUUGGGCCACAGUCAAAUUCAUAGGCCCGCAAAACCAUCAUAAUAUAGUUACCCCAAGAGUUCAAACUAUUAGAACCUACACUAUGAGGAUAAUCACUGGGGUGGAAACUAUUUUGAGGAAAUGAGACCUUAACGGUCAAAGCAAUUCUGUUGCUGUGGUACAUUUAAAUGUCAGAUGAAAACAUGCCUUCCUAAUUAACCUGAAGAAAUUAAAGAAACCCCUUUCGCUUGCAUCACAAUCCUAAAAACUUUAAAGUGCUCCAAGUAAUUUUUUCACAAAAAAAAAAAAAAAAACUUUCACCAGUGAAGUUUUACCUAAUAUUACCUUUGACAAAUAUGUUUAAAAUGAGGCCAAAGUGUACUUUGGUUUUCCGUGUUGCGGUAUCUCGGUAUCUAGCAAAUUUCAUCAUCAGCACGGUACGCAUGGACUUUCCGUGUGCAGCCUAGUUUGCUAGACACAUGGACAGUCUUUGUUUAUGGUCAGUGGAUGCGCCUGCCAUUGACUGUGCAAAAAGAAUAUCACAAAGCAGUCGAAAGGCUCAAGUGCUCGAAAAUGUGUGAGAUGGAACAGCACAUGGAAAAACAAAGUACACACAAGGCCUUAAGACUUAAAUCAUAUCAGGUAUCUAGAUACAACUAUUUUAUUCUACAUAAGGUAGGUUGCCCCCUCAUGGUGGCUGCCACUUGAGAUCAAAUGACUAAUCUUGUCUUGCAUUUCGAGUUAAUAAAACUUCAUGCUUCAGCGAAAUGUAAACAUAAAAUUACUUAGUGCACUUUUAAAGCAUAUAUAAGUGUUUAUUUUAUUGCCCUGUGUAAACUGAGUCUCUGUUGUGUGUUAAACGAAUAGAAAUCCAAUGUAUCUUGCCUGCCUAUCUGUCUUGCAAAUUAAAAAGCAUCUCAUGGUCAUUAUGAAUGUAUGUCAAUGAUGGCAUGUUAAUGUUAAAUAGAGUUUUAUAAACAAAGUUCGGGUGGAGCAUGUUCAUUUAAUCCGACCAAUCACAACAAUAGAGUAAGCAUAUAUAAACUGCUGCUUACCUCACUGCUAUGACCAUUCUUAUGGCAUCCCUCCUCCAUCCCAAAUCCAGCUUCUGUCUAUUAUUUCCAAACUCGAUUUAAAGGGGUUAGUUCAUCC
This is an RNA transcript of Myxocyprinus asiaticus (Chinese sucker), 3162 nucleotides long. It is a transcript of the gene named fibronectin type III domain-containing protein 9-like, with no coding region annotated. NCBI's taxonomy places the organism in Eukaryota, Metazoa, Chordata, Actinopteri, Cypriniformes, Catostomidae. The record is from RefSeq and is a predicted model, not a curated record. The transcript has 3 exons.